AGGAGGCAGCAGUGGGGAAUAUUGGACAAUGCCCGCAAGGGUGAUCCAGCCAUGCCGCGUGCAGGAAGACGGCCCUAUGGGUUGUAAACUGCUUUUACACCGGAGAAAACCUCCCCUCGUGAGGGGAGCUGAUAGUAUGGUGAGAAUAAGCAUCGGCUAACUUCGUGCCAGCAGCCGCGGUAAGACGAAGGAAGCAAGCGUUAUCCGGAUUCAUUGGGUUUAAAGGGAGCGUAGGUGGCCUUAUAAGUCAGUGGUGAAAUCUCUGGGCUUAACCCAGAAAUUGCCAUUGAUACUGUAGGGCUUGAGUACAGUUGCUGUGGGCGGAAUAUGACAUGUAGUGGUGAAAUACAUAGAGAUGUCAUAGAACACUGAUUGCGAAGGCAGCUCACAAAACUGUAACUGACACUGAGGCUCGAAAGUGCGGGGAUCAAACAGGAUUAGAUACCCCUGUAGUCC
RNAcentral lists this ribosomal RNA (456 nucleotides) under uncultured bacterium. RNAcentral describes it as "bacterial SSU rRNA". It matches the Rfam family "Bacterial small subunit ribosomal RNA", at positions 343 to 796 of the family's 1533-position model. The record is from RNAcentral.